RNAcentral lists this microRNA precursor (133 nucleotides) under Myotis lucifugus (little brown bat). Its description in RNAcentral is "miRNA (ENSMLUG00000024358.1)". The record is from RNAcentral. Lineage: Eukaryota; Metazoa; Chordata; Mammalia; Chiroptera; Vespertilionidae.
AAUUGUUAAGUUGUAUAGCUAAAUACAUUACAAAUGCAGGUUCUUAGGGCCCCAUCACAAAAGCAAAUCCCUGGGUUGGGGUCCAGGAAUCUGAAUUUUGGCAAAACCCGCUGUUGACUCAGAGGCACCUGGA